GGUCAAGCUACUAAGAGCGUAGAGUGAAUGCCUUGGCACCGAGAGCCGAUGAAGGACGUGGUAAGCUGCGAAAAGCUUGGAUAAGUUGCAAACAAACAUUAAGUCCAAGAUGUCCGAAUGGGGAAACCUAGCUGAGUAAACCUCAGUUGUUAUACAAUGAAUAAAUAGUUGUAUAAAGGGAACGUUGGGAACUGAAACAUCUAAGUACCAACAGGAGGAGAAAGAAAAAUCGAUUUCCUAAGUAGUGGCGAGCGAACGGGAAACAGGCCAAACUUAAUUACUUGUAAUUAAGGGUUUAGGACUGCAUUUAUGGAAGAAAGUCUAUAGUCUAAUUAUUUUGGAACAAUAAGCCAUAGAGGGUGACAGCCCCGUUGACGAAAUAGACCUACACCUAGCAGGAUCCAGAGUACUGCGAGACACGAGAAACCUUGCAGGAACAUGUGGGGACCACCCCAUAAGCCUAAAUACUCCUCGGUGACCGAUAGUGUAUAGUACUGUGAAGGAAAGGUGAAGUUGUGCACUUAGCCUUCCGUCCCUCGGAAUGCAUACAUGGGAACUUAAGAAAUCUGCUUCGCAGUGUCGCUUCGCUCUUUUACUCUAUCCGU
The sequence is a non-coding RNA, 605 nucleotides long. It matches the Rfam family "Bacterial large subunit ribosomal RNA", at positions 1 to 539 of the family's 2925-position model.